This 167-nucleotide ribosomal RNA is filed under the name Paraplagusia japonica (black cow-tongue). Its description in RNAcentral is "partial 12S rRNA". Lineage: Eukaryota; Metazoa; Chordata; Actinopteri; Pleuronectiformes; Cynoglossidae. The record is from RNAcentral.
AACCGCGGUUAUACGAAAGGCCUAAGUGGAUGGAUUGCGGCGUAAAGGGUGGUUAGGGAACCCUAUCACUAAAGUUAAACCCCCUCUUGGCAGUUUUAAGCUUAUGAGGAUGAGAAACUCACCCACGAAAGUGACUUUACCCUCCUGACCCCACGAAAGCUAGGGAG